Molecule: ribosomal RNA, 777 nt
Filed under: uncultured Neocallimastigales
Lineage: Eukaryota; Fungi; Neocallimastigomycota; Neocallimastigomycetes; Neocallimastigales
Description: partial large subunit ribosomal RNA
Rfam family: Eukaryotic large subunit ribosomal RNA
Source: RNAcentral
UCAGACGAUGCGUCAUGCAUAUCAAUAAGCGGAGGAAAAGAAACUAACAAGGAUUCCCCUAGUAACGGCGAGUGAAGCGGGAAGAGCUCAAAUUUGAAAUCUUAAAGGGUUUCCCUUUACGAAUUGUAGUUUAAAGAAGUGUUUUCUGUUGAGGUUUUGGUAAAAGUUCUUUGGAAUAGGACAUCAUAGAGGGUGAGAAUCCCGUAUUUGACCUUUACUUUCAACUUUGUGAUACACUUUCAAAGAGUCGGAUUGUUUGGGAAUGCAGUCCAAAAUGGGUGGUAAAUAUUUCAUCUAAAGCUAAAUAUUGGCGAGAGACCGAUAGCGAACAAGUACCGUGAGGGAAAGAUGAAAAGAACUUUGAAAAGAGAGUUAAACAGUACGUGAAAUUGUCAAAAGGGAAGCGUUUGACACCAGUGUUGUUUUUCUGAAAAUCAAUUAAAGGAACUGUUUAUGCUAAGUUGUUUAGACUUUAUCAGCUAACUGUUUAGUUUUGAGCUUUUCUUUAAUGCACUUUUCAGUUAACAAGUCAACAUCAAUUUCUUUUGCUGUAAAAAAGCUUGAGGAAGGUGGCUUGAGAUUCGUCUUAAGUGUUUAUAGCCUCUUGCCUAUGCAGUCGGAGAGAUUGAGGUCUGCAGCGUAGAUCCUUCGGGGCUAAAUGCAUUUGUGCUAAGUUAUAGCAUUUUAUAGACAACUUGUUGACUAUGAUUUGUCUUGUAGCUUACUCGCUUAUGUUAUUUUACCUACGCUUAGGAUGUUGAAUCUGUGCGAGACUAC